Molecule: ribosomal RNA, 446 nt
Filed under: uncultured bacterium
Lineage: Bacteria
Description: partial 16S ribosomal RNA
Rfam family: Bacterial small subunit ribosomal RNA
Source: RNAcentral
CCUACGGGGGGCAGCAGUCGAGAAUCAUUCACAAUGGGGGAAACCCUGAUGGUGCGACGCCGCGUGGGGGAAUGAAGGUCUUCGGAUUGUAAACCCCUGUCAUGUGGGAGCAAAUUAAAAAGAUAGUACCACAAGAGGAAGAGACGGCUAACUCUGUGCCAGCAGCUGCGGUAAUACAGAGGUCUCAAGCGUUGUUCGGAAUCACUGGGCGUAAAGCGUGCGUAGGCUGUUUCGUAAGUCGUGUGUGAAAGGUGCGGGCUCAACCCGCGGACGGCACAUGAUACUGCGAGACUAGAGUAAUGGAGGGGGAACCGGAAUUCUCGGUGUAGCAGUGAAAUGCGUAGAUAUCGAGAGGAACACUCGUGGCGAAGGCGGGUUCCUGGACAUUAACUGACGCUGAGGCACGAAGGCCAGGGGAGCGAAAGGGAUUAGAUACCCUAGUAGUC